GAGAAAAGAGGAAAACAGAAUAAGUCUUGAUUUACUGUGAAGACUUUAAUCCAACUCUGAUCUCGUAGCUAUC
Scleropages formosus (Asian bonytongue) is the source of this 73-nucleotide small nucleolar RNA. Ensembl annotates it as small nucleolar RNA SNORD19. The record is from Ensembl. Lineage: Eukaryota; Metazoa; Chordata; Actinopteri; Osteoglossiformes; Osteoglossidae.